This 492-nucleotide ribosomal RNA is filed under the name uncultured bacterium. Its description in RNAcentral is "bacterial SSU rRNA". It matches the Rfam family "Bacterial small subunit ribosomal RNA", at positions 29 to 513 of the family's 1533-position model. The record is from RNAcentral.
AGCGAACGGUGGCGGCGUGGAUUAGGCAUGCAAGUCGCACGCGAAAGUCGGGGCAACCUGGCGAGUAGAGUGGCGGACGGGUGAGUAAUGUAUGGAUAACCUACCCUGGAGUCGGGGAUAACCACUGGAAACGGUGGCUAAUACCGGAUGGUCCUGGAGCCAGGCACUGGCUCUUUGUAAAGAAAGCAAUUUCACUCUGGGAGGGGUCCAUAUCCUAUCAGCUAGUUGGUGAGGUGAUGGCUCACCAAGGCAUCGACGGGUAGCCGAACUGAGAGGUCGAUCGGCCACAUCGGGACUGAGACACUGCCCGGACUCCUACGGGAGGCUGCAGUCGAGAAUCUUCUGCAAUGGGCGCAAGCCUGACAGAGCGACGCCGCGUGCGGGAUGAAGGCCCUCGGGUUGUAAACCGCUGUUACUUGUUAAGAAGGCCUGUGGUGAACCUACAGGCUGGCGUUAGCGAGAGAGGAAGUCACGGCUAACUUCGUGCCAGCC